AUUUGGAGAAAUACGUUUCUACUUAGUCUCACUGGGUCUGUCUUUUCUGUUUCCAAACUAUUGUGUACACUUAGAGGAAGAGUGGAAACCCUCCAGCAGGUCCUGUCAGUCUGCAGUUUACAAAUCUCCCCUCAGGAUAAGAGUUCCUAUUCACCCUUUUCAGGUCUCAGAAUUCUGCCUCCUCCUGACCACUUUUCCUUUAGUUAUUCAACCCAUCAAGUUCCCUGGGUUUGCAUGUGCAAUCGAUUCCUCGUUAGGGAUAUUCUUUCCUCUGGUUUUUCCUUCAGAUACGAGCUUACGUUCGACCUCUUCCAAGAAGACGUCAGGAAUGUCCUUCUGAAUGCCUUUCCUAGUUCUCAUGAGAACACAGCAGUUUUUAAUCAGGCAGAGCACUUAUUACAUUAUAAUUAUCUUCUUGGUUCCCAACUGAACUUUUAAGUUCCAAGUGGGCAGUCAGUAAAUAUUUCUUGGUGCAUCAAAUGCUCCACAUUUUACACAGUUAACGUUUGCUGCCUACAAACCAAUUUGGAUAGUUACUUUAAAGUAUCUUAUCUCUAGUUCUCAAAGCUUUAGUUUCCUUUAACACUUAAGUAUCUCUUGCAUAUUUUCUUUUCAAACACUGCUUCGUUAAUUUGCAAAUUCAUUGGACUCCUUUCCUUAAAAAUCAAAAUAAUAAAACUUCAAGAAAGCUGUUGUGACUUCUGGCCUCUCUGAAUGUCAGAUCUGUAAACAGGAAGGGCAGAACUCUGAUCUCUAAAAUCCUCUCCAGUCCACUACUCUGACCCUCUAACUUGAGCUUUCUCCAGAGAGGUUAAGUGACUUUUCCAAGGUCACGGAGCUUUUUAGCGGCAGGAGAUUUUUUUUGCCUGUCUAUAGAUUUUUAAAAGCUAGCCGUAAACAAAAACCAAAAAGUUUACCGAGGACACUGAGUGCCACUAACAAGUUUGUGUGAAAGAGAAUUCAUGAAGAAAUAGGAGACUUCAAACAAAACACUAAAAUCAACAACAACCAUAAUGGAUUCCUGCCUAGGCAGGUCGGGACAUUAAGAAAAAAAAAGGUCUCGCUGUGGUUUGCUAUUAGAUGGAGAGAUAUUCAGAUUUCAUUUUUAAAAUGAAAGUGAAAGAUUAAAGAAUUUUGGCAUCCUGACCCUUUGUAGAGGCCAUUCCUCAGAGGCACAGUGUGCAGACAAAACUAUCCUAGAGGUGCCAACCAGAACAAGCUCUAAUGUCUGUCUCAUUCCUGAGCCUUGGUGCCUUGACGAGUCACCACGCUCAGGAAGAAAGCUGCAACUCGCCAGGAUGAAACUGGGCCCCGCUUCUUAGAACCCUUCCCCGCUUCCUUCCCCUGCCAGAACCACACUAAAGAAUUCGCUGCUCUCAAAGACAGACGUUUUCAUUACUUCCUUACAUUAUAGAGUUUGGGCUUAGAUAACCAGUUGUAUGAGUAGUAAGUCAAACAGAAAUACAACAGCAAUAAUACUUAUUUCUUUCCCUAAUUGUAAUAUGUUGUACUUCAUAAGCCAUCAUAUGCAUUUGUUGCUUUUCCCCCUUCUACACUGACCAGUAGUUUUGCUUUGUUUGACAGAAAAGUAUAGUAAGAAGAAACUGAAUUUGAAGUGGAUUCUUACAAAGGAAAAAGAAAAUCACUAUUGUAACUAUACCAAAUUACUAUGUAUGUGAGCUCCCAGCUUUGACAUCAAGUCGUUACAGCCACGUAAUGGGAUUACGGGUGAUUUUUACUUUAUUCUUUGGGCUUCUCUGAAUUUUCCUAUAUUUUGAAAAAGCACCUGCAUUAUUUUGUAAUUAUAAAAAAGUAUAAAUAAGAAUUAUACACACUAUUAUUUCUUCACUGCUAUGACAUGACUAGAUUACAAUUUUUUUCUUUUUGAGAUGACUUUCGGUCUUGUUUCCCAGGCUGGAGUGCAGUGAGCGGAGAGGGCGCCACUGCACUCCCGUCUGGGCCAAUGAGAGUGAAACUCCAUCUCAAAAAAAAAAAAAGAUGAGCUCACACUGGGGAUGACGGGUGGAAGAAAGGCCAGCUGUAAUGAACUUGCUGGUUUUGGUAAAUUCAUUGCCUUACCCUUGGACCUGGUAUUGUUUGAGAAAAUAAAUUAUUUUGCCAUCUU
This 2125-nucleotide long non-coding RNA is filed under the name Homo sapiens (human). RNAcentral's name for it is "non-protein coding DLGAP1-AS2:6". The record is from RNAcentral. Lineage: Eukaryota; Metazoa; Chordata; Mammalia; Primates; Hominidae.